GGGCAGGUGCCAGAGCGGUUGAAUGGGCUCGCCUGGAAAGCGGGUGUGCUGGUAACAGUACCGGGGGUUCGAAUCCCCCCCUGUCCG
RNAcentral lists this transfer RNA (87 nucleotides) under Verrucomicrobiota bacterium. RNAcentral's name for it is "Verrucomicrobia bacterium (mine drainage metagenome) tRNA-Ser". It matches the Rfam family "tRNA". From Rfam's summary of the family: Transfer RNA (tRNA) molecules are approximately 80 nucleotides in length. Their secondary structure includes four short double-helical elements and three loops (D, anti-codon, and T loops). Lineage: Bacteria; Pseudomonadati; Verrucomicrobiota. The record is from RNAcentral.